CAAUAGCGUAUAUUAAAGUUGUUGCAGUUAAAAAGCCCGUAGUUGGAUUUCUGGUAGGAGCGACCGUGCCGAACUUGAUUGUUCGAGUAUUGUGUUGUCUUCAGCCAUCCUCGUGGAGAACUUUUCUAACAUUAACUUGUUGGGAUUGGGACCCGCGUCGUUUACUGUGAAAAAAUUAGAGUGUUUAAAGCAGGCAUUAGCUUGAAUACAUUAGCAUGGAAUAAUAAGAUAGGACUUUGGUACUAUUUUGUUGGUUUGCAUACCAAAUUAAUGAUCAACAGGAACAGUUUGAGGAUAUUCGUAUGAACAUGUCAGAGGUGAAAUUCUUGGAUUUUGAUCAGACGAACUACUGCGAAAGCAUUUAUCAAGGAUGUUUUCAUUAA
RNAcentral lists this ribosomal RNA (383 nucleotides) under uncultured eukaryote. RNAcentral's name for it is "partial 18S ribosomal RNA". It matches the Rfam family "Eukaryotic small subunit ribosomal RNA", at positions 592 to 976 of the family's 1831-position model. The record is from RNAcentral.